Molecule: ribosomal RNA, 439 nt
Filed under: uncultured bacterium
Lineage: Bacteria
Description: partial 16S ribosomal RNA
Rfam family: Bacterial small subunit ribosomal RNA
Source: RNAcentral
CUAUGGGCCGCUCCAGUGGGGAAUAUUGCACAAUGGAGGAAACUCUGAUGCAGCAACGCCGCGUGGAGGAUGACACUUUUCGGAGCGUAAACUCCUUUUAUAUAGGAAGAAGAUGACGGUACUAUAUGAAUAAGCGCCGGCUAACUCCGUGCCAGCAGCCGCGGUAAUACGGAGGGCGCAAGCGUUACUCGGAAUCACUGGGCGUAAAGAGCGUGUAGGCGGAUUAAAAAGUCAGAAGUGAAAUCCUAUAGAUUAACUAUAGAACUGCUUCUGAAACUCUUAAUCUAGAAUAUGGGAGAGGUAGAUGGAAUUUCUGGUGUAGGGGUAAAAUCCGUAGAGAUCAGAAGGAAUACCGAUUGCGAAGGCGAUCUACUAGAACAUUAUUGACGCUGAGACGCGAAAGCGUGGGGAGCAAACAGGAUUAGAUACCCCGGUAGUC